Prunus mume (Japanese apricot) is the source of this 610-nucleotide non-coding RNA. NCBI's taxonomy places the organism in Eukaryota, Viridiplantae, Streptophyta, Magnoliopsida, Rosales, Rosaceae. The record is from RefSeq and is a predicted model, not a curated record.
UGCAGAACCAUCUGCCCAAGCCUUCAGUUUUCGUUUCCAUCGUUCGCCCCCUUCGUUGCCUUCUUCUUUCCAUACGCUUCCAUUGUUCAACUGUUUCCUUGCCUUCUUCUCUUUUGAUUCGAAAAUCAAUCUCUAUCUAAAAGCUGUGCGCACGGGUAACGCCGCCGUCGGCGUACGUGGCACCGACACCAUCGUUCUCGGCGUCAAAAAGAAGUCCACAGCAAGCUCCAGGACUCCAGUGAUUUACAGGGCCUGUUUGGAAUUCAAAGGAAAAUUGAGCAAAUUGAGUCAUUAUUAUGCUUGGAUUCAACAGGAAAGAGAGCAUCUUUGUCAACAUCAGACAGUCUAUGUGUUCUUUUCUUACUAUGAUGACUUCUAAUGAUGUUGAUGACUGAUGGAGAGGGAAAAACAUAGGAGAAUGGUUUUGCAAGAUGAUAGUAGUGUCUGAGAGCGUCAAGAGGAGGCUGUGAGUAGAAGGCGGUUCUUUGCAGGCUAGACAAGCAAAAGUUCCCUCUCUGGACUUGCUCCACUUGAAGCAGUGCUAUUUGAUAUUGAUAGAACUCCAUGUGAUUUAGAUCCCAUUCAUUUCAAUGCCUUCCACAAAAUGCUU